GGUCACAUGACUGAAGCUCAUUAUUGGACCCCUAAGUGGAGAAGUCCUCACCUGGAGCGCUCACUGCGACUAGUAGCUCAAAAUGGAGGCUCUUCUUAAACAUACCAGCAGGGGGCAGCACCAGACCUGUUUCUCUGAACAAAGAAGAGCAGAAGUGGCUGUACUGCAAAUGGAGGCUCCUCACAUACAUACCAGCAGGGGGCAGCACCAGACCUGUUUCUCUGAGCAAAGAAGAGCGGAAGU
This is a long non-coding RNA of Cyprinodon tularosa, 243 nucleotides long. RefSeq lists it as uncharacterized. The transcript is spliced from 3 exons. Lineage: Eukaryota; Metazoa; Chordata; Actinopteri; Cyprinodontiformes; Cyprinodontidae. The record is from RefSeq and is a predicted model, not a curated record.